CCCAUGACAUCACAUGGUAUGCGAAUUACUUUUCAAAGCGUCGUUUGAGAGGCAAGAACUUCCUAAAUAGGAAGUGCGAUCAUCGCUUUCUGUAUUUUGGUCCACGUUGUAAGUUUCAGGGCUAAUAUCUUAAUCUUUUGGAUAUAAAAAGGAACCUGGGAACAAGACAUACCAUUUACUGAGAUAUGAAAACUCCUAGACAAACCAUUUACUGAGAUAUGAAAACUCAUAGACAGACCAUUUACUGAGAUAUGAAAACUCAUAGACAGACCAUUUACUGAGAUAUGAAAACUCUUAGACAGACCAUUUACUGAGAUAUGAAAACUCCUAGACAGACCAUUUACUGAGAUAUGAAAACUCCUAGACAGACCAUUUACUGAGAUAUGAAAACUCCUAGACAGACCAUUUACUGAGAUAUGAAAACUCCUAGACAGACCAUUUACUGAGAUAUGAAAACUCCUAGACAGACCAUUUACUGAGAUAUGAAAACUCCUAGACAGACCAUUUACUGAGAUAUGAAAACUCCUAGACAAACCAUUUACUGAGAUAUGAAAACUCCUAGACAGACCAUUUACUGAGAUAUGAAAACUCCUAGACAGACCAUUUACUGAGAUAUGAAAACUCCUAGACAGACCAUUUACUGAGAUAUGAAAACUCCUAGACAGACCAUUUACUGAGAUAUGAAAACUCCUAGACAGACCAUUUACUGAGAUAUGAAAACUCUUAGUCUCUGUGGCCUCAUCACUACUGACUUGUGGUGCCUGGUCUCAUCGCUCACCAUGACCCCAACCGGCCAGGCCGAGGAGUGAGACAGCCAUGUCUGAUUCUACCUUGUUCAGAGCCACCAGAAUACUCUGCAGAAGUAUAUCUAGUGACAUGGAGGAGUCUGAGGCCAAGGGCAGAGGAGGAGCUGUCCCCAUGAGGAAGAGUUCAGACAGGAGGGGUUCUGACUGGGGAAGCAUCGCCAUGCUGGAUAAGACCAAGGAAUUCUUCCAGACCUGCGAUGUGGAGGGCAAAGGCUUCAUCACACGCACCGAUAUGAGGAGGCUUCACAGAGAACUACCCCUCACUGCUGAAGAACUGGAGAAUGUCUUUGACUCCUUGAACACUGACCAGAACGGCUACCUCACCCUCGAAGUGUUCUCAUCAGGAUUCAGUCAGUUCCUGCACAGCCGGAGGAUCUCUGUAGCCGAGGACGCAGCACCCGCCCUCCCCACUUCUAGGAAGCCCUCAGAAGCCCUGUACCAGAGCCAAUGGGAUGAGAGGUUGACUGGAGGGUGGGAGGAUGAGGAGGAGAGUCACUUCUGUAUGCUGCUGGAGAGCCUAGGGGCCAGCAACGUGUUCCAGGAUCCAGGCGAGGUGCGCAGCUUGUGGGCCCAGCUGAGGAGGGACGAGCCUCACCUCCUGUCGAACUUUGAGGAAUUCCUGGCCAGGGUCACCUUCCAGAUCAAAGAGGCCAAAGAGGAGAGGAGGGAGAUGGAGAGCGCCCUCCAGAGGAAAGAAGCCACACACGACAGUGAGAUCCGCGGUCUGUAUGAAGAAAUGGAGCAACAAAUGAAAAGCGAGAAGGACCGGCUGCUCCUCCAGGACUCGGAGCGUCUCCAGUCUCGUAGUCACGACCUGGAGCACCAACUGUCCAGUAAGGAGAGAGAGCUGGAGCAGCUCUUCCAGAAACAGAGGAGGUUGGAUCUCCAGUGUCGCGACCUGAGCAGUGAGCAGCAGGAGAGCCGGGUGGAGAAUGUCAAGCUGAAGAUGACCAACGAGGAACUGAGCAGAGAGCUGGAGAGCACCUGUCAGGAACUGUCCUUGGCCCAGGAACAACUGACCAUGCUGCAGGACCAGGCUUCCCGCCUGCACCAGGAGAGAGAGAUGGAAAUGUAUCGAGUCACUGAGGGACUACAGAGAGAGAAACAGAGUCUGAUGAAACAACUAGACCUUCUCAGAGAGAUGAACAAACAUUUAAAAGAUGAGCGAGACAUAUACUGUGCUGUGAACCCCAGGAAGUCCCUCAAACAGAAGCAGAGAGCCGGCUUGGUCAAUCUGUUUGCGGACACUAGCCAGCAGCCGGUUAAAAGAGCCUCACUCCUCACCCACAAUGGGGGUUCCUAUGAGUUCCUUGAUGCGCUGCCAGUAGAACACCUUCAAAUCUCUUUUGUCUCCUCCCCCUCCUCAUCUAGCGAGGACGAUGUUGACACCGCUUGUCCACCACGUUCACCGAAAACCAACUACGGCCUGGCCAACGGCUACCACGACUCCAACACCUCGUCUCCAAACCAAGUGGUUGAGGUGGAGGCGCAGGGGGUGAGGGUGAAGGAGAGGCUCUCCAAGUUCGAGUCAGAGAAGACCCUCGCCCCCACCCAGAAUGAAAGGGACAGGCAUACAGAGUACCAGAGUAAGCCGGAGGUUGGGGGCGAUGGGCUGGACGGUCCCCCAGAUGGGUGGCCUCUCCGUCGGGUUAUCUCCAUCGAGGAGGACCACCUCCCCCACCUGCUUCAUGGAGGGCCCCAGCCUCUGCUGCACCAGCUCAGUGAGGAAGACGAGGAGGAGCAAGGGAAGGAAGAUCUGGAGAGUAGUAUCUUCUUCGCCCCUGUUCCUCUACCUGUCCCGGUCACGACAGUGUCCCCCUUCAAACACCAAGGUAGUUUCAGCAGAAUGAGAAAUAUCCCCUCGUCACCUCGAGGACAGCCCGUCGGCAAGGAGACCCAAAAUAGGGUGAAGGAGAGGGCCGUGCCUGCCCCAGACCGGCUGUUUAAGGUGGUUCUGGUGGGCAACUCCAGUGUGGGCAAGACUUCCCUGCUGCGCACCUUCUGUGAUGGCCGCUUCCACCCCUCCAGCCCCGCUACUGUGGGUAUUGACUACAGUGUGAAGACUCUAAUGUUGGACAACACCCAGGUAGCCAUGCAGCUGUGGGACACGGCCGGGCAGGAGAGGUACCGCAGCAUCACCAAGCAGUUCUUCCGUAAGGCAGACGGCGUGGUGGUCAUGUACGACAUCACGUUGCUGGACAGCUUCAAGGCCGUGCGACCCUGGCUCAUCAACGUCCAGGAGGCUGCGGGAGUGGGCAUUCCCAUCCUGCUCCUGGGCAACAAGAUGGACGCGACGUCCGAGAGGGAGGUACCACUUAAAGAUGCAGAGACUCUGGCCCACGACACCCGUGUGAUAUUCUAUGAGGUCAGUGCUUACACCGGCUACAAUGUGACAGAGGCCAUGAUCCACCUGGCCAGGUAAGGGAGGGAGAGGGUCAGCCCCUAGGUAUCCAGAUCUGAAUGAAUUGGACAGAGUGCUGAAAGAGCAGGAGGAUCGGGUGAGAGACACGUUUGUCUUACUGGAGGUCCUGCCCGUCAAGAAGAAAGCCUGCUGCAAGUGAAGACACUCUAACAGAAUAGAGAGAGAGAGAGCAUUUGGAAUGGCUAGAGACUCCUGAUAACAAGUAAAGACACUCUGACAGAAUAGAGAGAGAGAGAGCAUUUGGAAUGGCUAGAGACUCCUGAUAACAAGUGAAGGAACUCUUCAAUCUAACUCUUUCUCUGUGCUCUCGGAGCCAAAUCCUAACUUUGUGUACAUUUGUUAAUCAAUAUCUCAAAUUAGGACGGCCCUUCUUUCAGUACCUGUUUUGUUAAAGGCAAAGAGCCCAGUUGAGCUGGAUCCUAGUGGAUUUAGCUCUAGUCUACAUUACAACUCUUUUUCUGUUGUUAUUUGGACCUCCUGACUGUAAUGAGCAAUAGACAUGUGUUCUACUGUAGAACUAAUGGUAUAUUUGGUCAAUUUAAAAAGUGGAUCAACCAUUUCAAUGUAUAGAAUGACUGUUUUUCUUUAGUUGUGAUUAUGUUGUUACUCAAAACACAGAAUGGAUAUGUAAAUAAGAGCUUGAUUAAGUUGGUAGUCUGUUACAAAAUAAUGAUUGUCAUAAAUUUGAUUAAAAUACUGAUGUGAAAUCUAA
Molecule: non-coding RNA, 3940 nt
Organism: Oncorhynchus mykiss (rainbow trout)
Lineage: Eukaryota; Metazoa; Chordata; Actinopteri; Salmoniformes; Salmonidae
Source: RefSeq, a predicted model, not a curated record